GUAGUUGGGUGCGUGGUGGGUAUCGCGACCAGGAGGGGGAAAGAAAGGGUGAAACCCUACUUGUUCAAUCAAGGUCAAAAUUCAGCAAAUUAAUGGUGGUUCUUGACACAAAUCGAAUGCAUGAGACUGGAUACAACUUAAUCUAAGUAUAUUGAUCAUAAGGUAAGUUGCAAUUUAUGAUUUGAUGAUCUUGUAUGAAGUGGUUUAGGUUUAAUCCGUGAAAUUGUGUAAAAUUAAUCAUGUAUAUGUGUUAGAAUCACCAUGUAGAACAUGAACUAUGUAAGAUUCUAAGCAAUUUGAUGUUUUGGGAUAAAACCCACUUGUGCUAGUAAGAAUGGUGAGAUGAAUGAAUUACCAUGUUCAAUUCUUGUAUAAUUUUGAUGUAUGGCGUGCUAUAUGAUCGAUUCUUACUAGUUAGAUUGAGUAGGAUUUGAAAGAAAUAUGAUGUAGUGUUAUUGUUGAGGAUUGGAAACAAGUGGUAGAAUAUGAGCAUGAAAUACUUGUACAUUGUGCCUUUUUGUUGUACGCCCACAAAGUGUUUGAUAAAAUGCCUACACGCAACUUGAAUUGAUUCAAGUUUGUGUUAAAAAGUUAGUAAAUUCGUCACUUUUGACAGCCCUAGAUAGGCAUCUUGUAAAGGUCGUAUCUCACUCGUUAUUAGGAAUUAGACAACGAGCCUUAUAUCGUUGGAAAGCUUGUUUCGCGUGUUACAAUUCUUAUUUGGUCACAAGAUGCUGGUUAUGAGAUUUAGUGGGUCAAAACAGCAUGAAAAGUUAGUAAAUUCGUCAUUUUGACAGCCCUAGAUAGCCAUCUUGUAAAGGCCGUAUCUCAUUCGUUAUUAGGAAUUAGACAACGAGCCUUAUAUCGUUGGAAAGCUUGUUUCGCAUGUUACAAUUCUUAUUUGGUCACAAGAUGCUGGUUACGAGACUUAGUGGGUCAAAACAGCAUGAAAAGUUAGUAAAUUCGUCAUUUUGACAGCCCUAGAUAGCCAUCUUGUAAAGGCCGUAUCUCAUUCGUUAUUAGGAAUUAGACAACGAGCCUUAUAUCAUUGGAAAGCUUGUUUCGCGUGUUACAAUUCUUAUUUGGUCACAAGAUGCUGGUUAUGAGAUUUAGUGGGUCAAAACAGCAUGAAAAGUUAGUAAAUUCGUCAUUUUGACAGCCCUAGAUAGCCAUCUUGUAAAGGCCGUAUCUCAUUCGUUAUUAGGAAUUAGACAACGAGCCUUAUAUCGUUGGAAAGCUUGUUUCGCAUGUUACAAUUCUUAUUUGGUCACAAGAUGCUGGUUACGAGAUUUAGUGGGUCAAAACAGCAUGAAAAGUUAGUAAAUUCGUCAUUUUGACAGCCCUAGAUAGCCAUCUUGUAAAGGUCGUAUCUCAUUCGUUAUUAGGAAUUAGACAACGAGCCUUAUAUCGUUGGAAAGCUUGUUUCGCAUGUUACAAUUCUUAUUUGGUCACAAGAUGCUGGUUACGAGAUUUAGUGGGUCAAAACAGCAUGAAAAGUCGGUAAAUUCGUCAUUUUGACAGCCCUAGAUAGCCAUCUUGUAAAGGUCGUAUCUCAUUCGUUAUUAGGAAUUAGACAACGAGCCUUAUAUCGUUGGAAAGCUUGUUUCGCAUAUUACAAUUCUUAUUUGAAAGUCGAAGUCGGAUUAGGUGAUUAAAAAGGGGGAAAAUGACCCCGAACAGCUGCUGCGUGAAAAAAAAAAUGCGGCAAUGAAAAUAAUGUGUUUUGUGAACUUAAAACAUAUGAUUUUCUAGUCACCAAUUUACUAAACACUAAAUAUUGCUUCGGGUGAAUGUUACAGUUGUUAAGGUGUGUUUAAAGCGUUACUAUGUGUAAAAUUGGCGUUAAUGUACAGCAUGGUUAGCCUCUCGGAUAUGAUUGUAAUAGUAGAGAAGUCAGGCGUAUUGUAGUAGAUAAUCUAUGUGUCGCGUAUGAUGAUAAUUGAGUUGCUUGAAUAAGGAACAAGGUGACUUUUAGUCUAUAUGCCUUAUGUAUGUGGUAUUUGGUUAAUAAAAAGUCAAGUAAUGUAUUAAUGGAAAGAAACGAAUGUAGUAUGAAUGAGCAGGUGUGCUAACCAUAAUGUAAUUGUGAUGACAUGAAAGAAUAGGAAUCACAUUAGCAAGGACUCGAAAACGGAAGGUUAACGGGUCAAGCAGAGGCGAGGAAACAAGCGUGAACACUAACGCUCGAGGUAAGUGACUUUCGAUUCACUUCUUAGUAUACAUAUAGAGUUUUCUUGUUAUGGUUGAAUGGGAUGAUUGAUGUAUAUAAAAUGGCCGACAAGUAGGUAUGUAUGAAUGCAUUUAGGAAAAUUACGUAAGUACAUGCACGUGUGAGCUAAGGUAUGCACGGGUGUAGUUAUGAUUCAUUUUAUGAAUGUAUGUAAGUAUGGAGUUAUGUAUGCAUGUAUGUAUAUAUGUAGGUAUUGGUGUAUGUAUGUACGUAAGUAGUUAUGUAUGAGCAUGAGCAUUAUGUAUUUGAAUAUGAAAGUACAUACGUGUGUAGGUACGAACGUAUAUAUAUAUGUGGAUGCAAGUAAGUAUGUAUGUAUGUAUGUGAGUAGGUAUGUGUGUAUGUAGUUAUGUAUGUAUGUAUGUAAAUACAUAUGCAAAGAUGUAAUCAUGUAUGUAUGUAAUUAGAUGCGUGGGUAUGCAAGUAAAGGUAUGUAGAAAUAUAGGAGGACAUGUACGUAUGUAGACGCAUAUGUAUACAUGUAAACAUGUACAUGUGCAUGAUUUAGAUACGUAGAAUUUUAACGUUACUAAUUAUGCGUUUGAGGUUGGUAUGUGAUGCAGGAACAAGUACACCGGAUUCUUACGAAACUUAAACCGAACCCGGAAUAAGAGGAUGAGAAAGAAUAAUUGGAUGAAUUAAUGUUAAAUUGACGAACGUUAUUCAAUCUUUAAUUACAUGAGAUUAAUGUUAUAUGAUGUUGCCUUUGACUAAUGGUUAAGUUGUAUGUGAUGCCCACAGGUGUUACACGGACUUCUUCUGCUGCUAUGGAAGUGAAGUGGACGUAGAUCGAGUCAAGAGCAAGGAUUGUACGGAUAGAUUGGUCACAUAGUUGAAGUAUAUAACGUUUGGAAAUCUAAAUUUUAGUAUGAAUGUUGUAAAAUUCUUUUAUAGUACGUUUAACAUUUUUAGGAUUUGGAUCCUUCGUGAAAGAAAUGUUGUUAAUACGGAAGAAAAUUUUAAAGCUCUUUUUCCGCUGCGUU
This 3213-nucleotide long non-coding RNA is filed under the name Helianthus annuus (common sunflower). Its description in RNAcentral is "hypothetical non coding rna". The record is from RNAcentral. Lineage: Eukaryota; Viridiplantae; Streptophyta; Magnoliopsida; Asterales; Asteraceae.